RNAcentral lists this small RNA (135 nucleotides) under Chromatiaceae bacterium. RNAcentral's name for it is "RtT sRNA". It matches the Rfam family "RtT RNA". Rfam says of the family: This family represents a bacterial cis-regulatory element known as RtT RNA. The exact function of RtT is unknown although it is thought that it may be involved in changing the cellular response in relation to amino acid starvation. The record is from RNAcentral. Lineage: Bacteria; Pseudomonadati; Pseudomonadota; Gammaproteobacteria; Chromatiales; Chromatiaceae.
UCCGUGGCCUGGCUGGGGAGGAUGAGAACCGAAAGAGGUUCGACGAAGGCGCGAAGCGCCGGAGAGCGCUGCGCAGGGCGCAGCGACCCGGAGGCGGAACGCCGGAGGCGUGGAGUAAUCCUCCCCUCCACCAUA